Molecule: long non-coding RNA, 21612 nt
Filed under: Triticum aestivum (bread wheat)
Lineage: Eukaryota; Viridiplantae; Streptophyta; Magnoliopsida; Poales; Poaceae
Description: long non-coding RNA (TAES_LNC023100)
Source: RNAcentral
GCAAGGGCGGGCUGAGCACCAACGACGAGUCCGGCGGCGAGCGCGCGGCCAGGGAGGGCAUCGACAUCGACGAGUCCAAGUUCAAGACCAAGUCCUAGAUGAUCCGUUAGCCUAGCAAGCAAGAUGACUCUGCUUAGGUCGGCUGUUGGUUUGCCCUAGCGUCCACGUACCGAAUAAUGUAGUUCAGGCGCACGUAGGCGAUCGUACGUAGUAUCAUCAUGUGUGCUUCGUAACCGGUAGUCCGUAGCUACUCUACGGUGAGUAGCGUCAGGUCAAGUCGGAAGCUGUGGCUUGGUCAGGUGGCUGGUCUGCCUCUGGGCCCAGGAGUGUCUACAGUGUCCACUGUAUCCUUGCUUCUUCAGUAAUGUAUGUCGUCUUGCUCAAAUAUGUCUUGUCUCGUCUGAUCUGUGUUGAUUCCUGGUGCUACUGGGUGUAGACCUUGUUGCUCGUAGAGCUAUCACCGGCUCAGAACACCAUGAGCAGUCGCUGACUGCCAAACCAUGCAUGAACGUGUACCUUCAUGGCUUUGCUCCGCACCUGCGUCUAUACAUUUGACACGAAAGAUGAAAUACCAGAGCAGAACGAUCGAUCUCUCAGACAUGACCCAGAUGCGGGGAGCACUUGAUCAAGUCCGAGCGUUUCCGAUCCCUGCCUGUCAUGUCGCGGUUAUCGCUUGCUGUUGGUAGUGGGGGUGAUCAAGGGGGAGCCGUUGAGGAUCCUGCCCACCCGAAGCUUUCCAACGGCGGCGCGAUCGUGGACUUCAGGCCAUCUGGGAAUUUUGCAGGUUUUCAGAGGGCGGUUCCAAGCAAUGGCAAUGGACUGUCGGAGGAAGAUGGUCUACCAGUUGGAGAGGAUGCGCACAUCGGGGAUGAAGCGAACAUGGACGACGUUGCCUUUGUUGCAGUGGACUUUGAGGAGGAGGAUGAAAACAUCGAGCCGGGUUGGAAGCUGAUGAGCCUAUACAGAUCACAGAAACGGCCAAGCGCGAAGACGCUGUCGGAUCACUUUGAGAAAAUUUGGCAGCUACGUACAGGAGUUGAGUUUAAGCCCGUACAGAAAAAUUACUUUGUGGUCUUUUUUCUCUGAAGGAGACUACAGAUUCGUUGCUAGGGGAGGGCCAUGGAUAUAUGAUGGAGAUGCUUUGUUGUCAGGAUGUAAAUGGUCAGUCCGCUGAGGUUGUGGGACUGCCCGCACUGGCCACAACUUUUUAUGUGGGAUUACGUGGGAGCCCAGUUAAUUUUCAUGCGGGGCAUGUGGCGUCCACAUACUGCCGCAAUAUACAAAAGAUCACUGGAACUUCCACACUGACAUACAAAGCAUGUGGCGUCUGGAAGUAUAUACAUAUGUACAAAAAGUAUGACAAAAACAAAUGGCAGUAGAUACAAAGUGAGAAUGGAUAAUAUUAGCCCACAUUGACAUACAUAUGUAAAAAAGUAUGACAAAAACAAAUGGCAGUAGAUACAAAGUGAAAAUGGAUAAUAUUAGCCCACAUUGACAUAAUGAUCGCUACUAAUUAUCACUAGUGAGUUCGAGCUUCAUUUAGUAGUCGCCUCUAGAAUAACAAAAUCCACAAAGCAACGGCAACUUAACUAAAAACACCUAUCAAAGCAGCAGAAAUAUUUUCUGUAUGUGAACAAAAAGGAAUAUGUAAUACACUUCCCAUCCUUCAUAUCCCAAAAUUAACAGAAAGCACCUAGAGUCCUAGACUCAAAACGGCACCAAAUGAUAAAACUAUCAGCUAAGAGCAUCUUCCAUUUUUCUGUCAGCUUUCACAAAGCUAUGCUCACUGGUCUUUCACGUGAUUAAUCGGAAUCAGAAUGGUCCCAGGAUUGGCCUCAUCUUCGGUCCACUCAACUGAUUUUUUCUCCAGAAACAUCUCAACCUGCGGUCAUUCAAGUUUAUUAAUAAGUUAUAUAAGAUAUACAGUACUAUCUACAUGAAAAAGAAACAAGGAUAAGAAGUAAGCAGGGUUCCUUAAAUCAUAAGCAUACACCAGUGUGUAUUUCCCUUCCCUAAAAUGAUUGUUAAUCAACAUUGUCGAGGAGGGAAGCAAAACCAUCAAGAAUAAAAAGUGCAUAUAGCUAGCACCACAAUCUUUAAAAAAUGCAGAUAGCUAGCAACAAAUUCACAAUAGGCAAUGAUCUUAAAUUAAUAUUCUAACCAAUAAGAGUCCUUAAUGAGUAUUAUUGCGACCAGAUCUUGAUAGCAUAAUUGCAAGGAUGAUAAAUACAUACAAGUUAGCAGCAUACACAAUUUAUACUCAGAGCGCAACUCGAAACUAUGGACGUAAAAGAAACCAGAUUUAACUCAAAUGCUCCCCAAAUUUACCCAAAGCUUGCUACAAUUGAACAAUUGAUUAGCAAUAUUAUGUAGUGCACACAUACCUCAGUUAAUAGUAGUGACCUUGAUCAGGAGUAUUGGCAUGCUUACCAUUACAUCUAAACCAAUCUUGAAGGCAGAUUAAGGCUUCCACUGUCUCGCUGCACAAUCUACUUCUGUAAUCGCUGAUCAAACGCUUUCCGGUAUUGAAAGCCGACUCUGACGAUACGACGGAAGCUUGUACAACAAGAACAUCACAAGCUAUACAAGAAAGGAUGGGAUACUUAGACGAGUGAAGAUGCCACCAUUGAAGAAUGUUGAAUCCUCCGUGCGAGUGAAUGUGUCUUCUUCUAAGUAUCUGGCAAGCUCACUAGUAGAUUGGCGUUGCUUCUUAUUCAAGUGUUGGUCCCAAUCCGCCAACGGAUCAUUCUCUUCAUUCACAACCUCAUCAAAUUUUGUCGGGGUGCUGACUCAUCCAAUGCAUCCGUCAUUUGUGAAGAAUAUUCUUCGAAAAGGUUGUCAAGAACUUCUUUCACUGUAAGCAAGAGUCUUUCUACAUCUGGACCAAAAGCUUGUUUUAGUCGAAACUCGAUGAAGCAAAGUUUAAAUCGUGGACCAAGGAUCACAGGAAUACAGUUUGGCAAAUAUGAUUCCAUCCAAUACUUAUCAAACUUUUUUUGCAUCUCUCCAACCAUUGCUCGAACGACUUCAUCCUUUGUUGAAGCUUCCUUCCGCAGCAAUAACCUCACAUUCCAGAUUUGAUGAAAGUACAAAUUUGAGGUAGAAUAACUUGAACCAGAAAGUACAUUGGUUUGAAAUCCCUCCAAACAGCAGAAGUUAGCCUUCUUGUCUUGCAGACUGUUAAUUGGCAAGCAAAUAAAAUGUCAACUCACAAGAACAUUUUAAACUUGUAACUACAUACAAGUGUAAUUACAAAAGAGAAAAAACAAAGCCAACUCACCAUGUGGAUGAUUAAUUUUUGAGCCUCCAAAUGGAGUAGUCACUGGAGAAGGGGAUCCUAAGAUAGAUGGUGAUCUCGCGGACGAAUUUGCCCUCUCCUCCAAUGGGGAACUUGCAAUCCUCGUUGAGGGAGACCUGCCCCUUUUUGAGGAUGCAACUCUUGCUAGAAGACCAAGGGAAGAUCUCCACGUGCUCGCCACCGGUGACCUUACCAAUGGUGAUCUUGUCGCUCUUUGACUAUGUGUCAUAGGUGGAGAAUCUCGUCUCUAGAUAACAAAACACAGAAAGUUCAGAACAUGCUAUCAAUUUCAAGAAGGUAUAAAAGCAGAUUUGUGGUUUAGAGUGAGGUUUAAUAGAGAAAUCUGGCAAGAAAAAUGACCUGUAGCUCCUCUGUUGUAGCUCCUUGAACAAAUUCAGAACAGUUCAUUGAACGAGCAUGUUUCCUCUUCCCCUGCAACUCCUCCUCCUCCUGCAACUCCUCCUCCUGGUUUUUCCUCUUCUUCUCUUGCUUCUUCCUCUUCUCUUUCCUCUUCUCUUUCCUCUUCUCUUCCAGGCUUUUCUUUCUCGUCUUAUGCCUUCGUUUUUCCUUCCGCCUUUCUAAUCAGUAACGCAAACACAGGAGGUCAAAAAAAAUAUCAAAGAAUACAAGUAAUGUCACGGGGAAACACAUGAGGGCCGGAUACUUACUUCCGUUCCUCAUCGAUAGCAUUCCACACAUGUUGUUCCUGCUCCAUGGCUUCCCACUUUUCAGCUUGCUUGUCGAUCGUCAACACCAUUUGGUCAUCGACAUCACCCAUGGUAACUUCCAUCAAAUCUGCAUUGAAUGUCCAAUGAAUGCUAAAUUUAACUAGCAAUCAGAACAAAUGGACGCAACCGUAGAAUUGUUCUAUUUGCUUUCUUCAGACACAAUACAAGAUUUCACCAUUAACACACAAAUUUAGCAUACACCGAACUCCUAUAGCGAGUAGUUACAGAGACAUUCUAAUUCUGACCGCCAGAGCAAGAUAUACUUUGAUAUUUUUACAAUUAAUAUCUGGAAAUACAAGAAUGAUUACAAUUAAUAUUCACAUGCCAGUGUGAUAUGUAUUGUACAACUUGUUUAGAAUUUAGAGGGAUGUUUUUACAGGUGCAAUGCUCUUGCAACUAGUUUCGUACGAAUCACAACGACGUUUUGCUAGCUGCUCCUCUGACUAAUUCCUUUUUAUAGACCAUUCUACCUACUCCAAAUAAUUUCUCGGUUCAUGCAUUGAUUGUUCUGCAAAAACAUGCAUCGGGAUACCUGUGGCAGCGUGAGGAAGCUUUCAUUCAAAUCAUCAAAUGAUCGCCAGAAUCCGCAUGCUAUAUGGAAAUACCCUGUAAUGUACUUGCCUGUACACUCUUGAUAAAGUCAAUGACCACCACACCCCCCUGCCUUGGUCCCCAUAAUCGAGAAAUAUAUGGACAGCAGUAAGUAACGAAUGCUAAUCUACUAGAAGAUUGUACAGUAGUAUCGGGCAAAGAUAACCAAGAACCAUCUAAUUCGCCACUUGGAGUAGUACGUGUAUAGUCGUGUUUGCAUUGCCCACUCAUCACUACACAGCCAAAUUAGAGUAGUGCAUAGCUUGGCACUGUCCGCAUCUGUACUAGGAUCUUUUGGUCCUUCGAUCUUAACUAAGUACCACUAAAUAGUCUUUAAUUGUGCUGUUCCUCUGAUAUACAGAGAGAUUCUAAUUCUGACCACGAGAGCAAGAGAUUCGUACGAAACUAGUUGCAAGAGCAUUGCACCUGUAAAAACAUCCCUCUGAAUUCUAAACAAGUUAUACAAUACGUAUCACAUUGGCAUGUGGAUAUUAAUUUACAGUUCAUAACAAUAUAUCAAUUAACAAAGUUGCGGCCACAAGGGAGUGGACCAAGUACUAUCUCAAGUACCUAACAAAUGCCGGACGGCGGAUUCACAAUAAAUUGUAGAGAAGCUCAUCGUCUAUAGAUUCAGCAAGCUACUCACAUCCACACAUAAUAGUAAUAUCUAACAGGCUACUCACAUUCAGUAUAGCUGAUGCACAACAAAACAUGGAUCACAACUGGUGUAGCUGAUUCACAUCAAGCAAUUGAAGAAGACAUGCCUGGCCCCUUGGGGUAGAAUAGGAGGAGGGGGGAUUUUGCAUACCUUGGGGUAGAAUAGGAGGAGGCGGGGGAGCAGGGGCCGAAGAGGCCAUCACCGGGAUUGGGGAGGGAGCAGCCACGCAGGGCUCGGCUUGGUCCCCGGCUAUCCCCUUUGAUGGCGGCGGAGGAGCAGGAGCUGAAGAGGGCGUCGGCAGGAUAGGGGAGAGAGCAGAGGAGUCAUCCUCGCAAGGCUUGGCUCGGUCGCCGGCGAUGUCCUUGGACGACGGCCUCUUCGAGAAACACGACAGCGACGGUGGCUCCAUGGGAUUGGAAGCGGGAGGUGGUGCCGCACCACUGGUGCGGUGGAGAUGGCGGCGAGGGCGCCCUAGCCUAGGGCAUGGGGUGACUGGGGAAGGACGCGAAGGGGGGAUUGUGGACUACCGCUGGCUCGAUAGGCUUUUCUGGGCUAUCCACUUGCGCCGUUUAAUUUUUCUGGGUGUCCACAAAUGCCACAUAACCUUUUUUUGUGGAUGGCAUAUGUGGGACUAAUGGGACCCAGCGCCACUUACAUCCUGACUUUGUUGGUGGCUCCGUUUGUAGAAGAUGCUCAUCCGUCUGAAACUAUAAGAGCAUCUCCAACAGGCGCCGUGCCGCAAAAUCCCCCCGCGCAACCCGGCGGAUGGCUCCAGCGGGCGCGCAAUAACCGCGCGCGCGGUAUAAGCAGUUGGGCGCGCGUGGAUGCGGUUCAUCACGUGGUGUAUUUGCGGCCCCGCUUCCGCGCGCGGCACACUCGACGCUCGCGCUGCGCGCUCUUCUUCUCCCCCUCCAAAGCCCCGCGCGCGCCGGCGCCGGCGACCCGCACCCAUGGACGCACGCGCCGGCACCUCGCUCACCCCGUCCUUAGCCGCGACCCCCUCGCCCCCGCCGCCGCCACCGCCACAAACCCUAGCCCGGGUGGCGUUGGCCUCGCCGCCGCCGGGGCUCCUCUUCAUGCCGCCGCGGAUGACCUCGGCGGCGGGUGGCGUCGCGCCGGCACCGGCCCGAGCCGCCGCCCCCUCCUCCUCAAAGCUCCCCAAUGCGGCGCAGCCAAAGAUUUUAAACUUGGUUGGAUGAACUUGUGGGCAUGAUUUUAAACUUGUGGGCAUGAACUUCAUCAAUUUGUUUGUGUGAAAUUUCUAUUGUGUUGAAAAUGUUCAUCAUUUUGUGUUGAAAAAUGCCAUAUGCAAUGCACCGGCGGGUCGCGCGCGCUACAUUUUGGCGCGCUGCUGGAGCGACGCGCGCGCGCUGCAUUUUAGCGCGGCCGCUGGAGCCAGCGUUGCGCACCGCGCCAAACCAGCCGAUGCGCGCGCCGCAUAUGUGUUUUUUGCGCGCGGCGUGACCGGCGCCAGUUGGAGAUGCUCUAAUGGAUUCAGUCUAUGUGUGGGUGCGUGUCUUUGAUGUGCCUUGGAAUAAACAAACCAGGCCAUAUGGGAACGCCUUGGGUGGCACCCUGGGAGAGGUGUUGGAGGUUGAUGCUCCGGAAGUUGGACAUGGCACUAGCGAAUUUUUGAGGAUCAGAGUUAAGCUGCCAUAUAACAGGAGGUUGCAGAAGGAGGUUACUAGAAUAUACUGUCAGAGGAGUAACAAAACGAUCUACUUUUAAACUGAAGUAAGAGCGUGUACCACACUUCUGUUUCUUCUGUGGUUUUCUAGGCCAUGAUGAAGAUGUGAGUGAGAAGAAGAGGCUUGGGCUGCCAUCUAAAGCCUAUGAUUCCACGCUCCGUUGUUCCCCGUUUAAGAAGUAUGAGCAAAGACCAGCAUAUACAGCGUCGCCGGGCCAGCCAAGGGCGCGCCGUGUGUUGGACUUUUCCUUGGGCCGUGCUGGUUCUACUACACGGCAAUCCGCUUCUUCUUCAGCGAGAAGUGAGUCUAGACAUAAUCCAUUUAUACCAGAUAGGGUUGAUGCCCAUGAUGGGUUUGAGAACAGAGAAGGAUCAGGUGAGACGGCGGCUGUUAUUCAGCUUGCAGAUGAGGUGGAGGCGCUCCGUCUGAGGCUGGCCAAAGAGAAACCAGAGUGCAGUCAAUCUCACCGGAUAAAGAUUCAUUUUGAAGCAAAAGCUAUGUACAAACAGACUGAACUACAACCCAAAUCUCACAAGAAGAGAAGUACUGGUAAGAAAGUUGUGGCAGCAAGGACGCCAGGCACUCUAGUUAUCAAGGAAAAAGAACCUACUUCGGAUGUCAUGAAUCCAACAUUACGGGGUGUUGAUUUUUUGGAUAAAUCUUUUGGUACAGCGGUGGACUUGAUGGUAUACAAUGAUUCCAUCUUGGGAAAACGUCAUGUUGCAGGAUUGUUUGGUUAUGGGCAGGAUGCGCAACUUGACAAAGCUAUGGUGCCGUUCGUUGAUGUUCCAACAGGAGGUAGUCUGAAGAAAGGGAAAAUUGAAGGUCAACAGCAAGAGGAGGAAGUAACCAGCAAAGGGAGUGAGGUGGACAUGGAGGCAGCUGGCCUAGCUAGGGGCCGCCAGUGAUCUGACGGGGCCUUUAGCGCCCCGUCAGACGCAAUGAAUUGCUUAAGUUGGAACUGUUGAGGGGCGGGGAACCUUCGCACAGUUCGUGAUCUUGUAGCACUUGUGGGUGCUCAUUCCCCAAAAGUGGUCUUUCUGUGUGAAACUAGACAACCAAAAGAAAAGAUGUAUCGUCUUCGUAAUCGUUUAGGCUUAGUUGGUUUUGAAGGAGUUAGUAGUGAUGGUCGUAGUGGUGGUCUAGCUUUAUUUUGGCACGAGUUUGUAUCCCUGGUUGUUCAAGAGGCUAAAAAUAGAUGGAUUGAUGCUUAUGUCCGCUUGUCACCUGAUGAUCCUUUGUGGUGUGUCACCUUUGUGUCUGGCGAGCCACGAGUGGAAAAUAGACAUUUUAUGUGGGACUCUUUGAGGAGGUUGUCAAGACACAGUACACUUUCAUGGAUGUUAGUUGGCGACUUUAAUGAAGCUAUGUGGGAUUAUGAACACAUGUCAGAAACACCAAGGGCACCGGGUCAGAUGUUGAGUUUCAGAGAUGCUUUGGAAACAUGUGCGCUGAUUGAUAUGGGCUUCAUGGGUUAUCCCUUUACCUAUGAUAAUAGGCGGGGUGGUAGAGCCAAUGUUCAGGUGAGAUUGGACAGAGCAGUGGCCACUAAUACUUGGAGGGAUAUGUUUGCUGAUGCUGUUGUACGUCACCUGGUCUCACUGGCGUCAGACCAUUGUCCAGUGUUGGUCUCAUGUAUUUUGGAUACGGCCCCUCGGCCGGGCCGAUGUCGCCGUUAUGAAUUGAUGUGGGAAAGAGAUCAUGCUCUUAAUGAGGUAGUGGCGGAAGCAUGGGGUGCAGCAGGAACUAAAAGAAACUUAAGUGAUGUUCAAAAGGCUCUCGGCCAGGUGAUGGGUAAGUUGCAUACUUGGAGUACUAAAAAAUUUGGGAAUGUUACAAGACAACUUGAGAAAUCUAGAUCAAGAUUGGAGGAACUGAUGCUUAUGAAUGCGGACAGGGCAGAUAUUAGGAAGCACAUGGACGAAAUGAAUGAACUUUUAUUUAGGGAGGAGAUGUUGUCGUUACAGCGCUCGCGCAUUGCUUGGCUCAAGGAGGGGGGCAGGAACACUAAGUUUUUUCACAGAAAAGCGGUGUGGCGAGCCAGAAAGAAUGCAGUAUGAGGACUAUUGGAUGCUAAUGAUGUUUGGCAAACUAAUAAAAACGUGAUGUUGGAUAUGGCCCGUACCCAUUUUAUGCAAGUAUUUACAGUUGAUCCGAACGUCAACCCAGAAGAAGUAGUGAAUCUAUUCCAAGCUAAAAUAACGGAUGAUAUGAAUACUGCUCUUUGUGCUCCAUUCACAGAUAAGGAAAUAGGCGAUGCGUUGUUCCAGAUUGGGCCACUAAAAACCCCAGGUCCAGACGGAUUUCCAGCUUGAUUUUUUCAGCGGAAUUGGGCUUUAAUGAAAGAGGAUGUAAUGGUGGCUGUCAGGUUGUUCUUUGAGACUGGACACAUGCCGGAUGAGGUAAACUCAACUACUAUUGUGCUUAUUCCUAAGGUUGCGAAUCCAAAGAAGCUAAAUGAGUUCAGACCAAUCAGUCUAUGUAGCGUAGUUUACAAGGUCAUCUCCAAGUGUCUGGUAAAUCGUUUGAGACCUCUCCUUGAUGUUAUUGUUGCUCCUGAGCAGAGCGCCUUCAUCCCUGGUAGACUUAUUACAGAUAAUGCUUUCAUAGCUUUUGAGUGUAUGCAUACAAUCAAACAGGAAAGGAAUCAGGAGAAUAGUUUUUGUGCUUACAAGCUGGACCUAUCAAAGGCAUAUGACAGGGUAGACUGGAAUUUCCUGGAGCGAAUGAUGCAAUAGUUGGGUUUUCAUCACCGGUGGAUACAGUGGAUUAUGGCGUGUGUAACCUCGGUGAGAUAUAGCGUUAAACUAAAUGGAGCUAUCUCAGAUUCGUUCGCACCGUCGCGUGGACUUAGGCAGGGUGACCCUCUAUCCCCGUUUUUGUUUUUGUUCAUAGCUGAUGGACUUGAUGCUAUUUUGAAACAGAAGGUCAGACAAGGAAGGAUUUCUCCUAUUCAUGUGUGUCCAAGGGCGCCAGGUAUCUCACACCUCCUAUUCGCAGACGACACAUUAAUGUUUUUCCGUGCUACUCAGGAAGAAGCUACCCAGGUGGGAGAUGCACUGGCUAUUUAUGAGCGCAUCACGGGACAAUUCAUUAACCCGGCAAAAUGUUCUAUUUUAUUUGGCCCAUGUUGUGGUGACAACGACAAGCAUGAGGUUGUGCAUACCUUGCAGGUUCAGACGGUGGGAUUUGACGAUAAGUAUCUCAGUCUCCCCACACCAUCUGGUAGAAUGUCGAAGAGCAAGUUUCAAAAUCUACAAGAGCAACUUACUAAGCGUAUCUUACAGUGGGGAGAAGCGCCGUCAUAAGGGGGCAAAGAAAUUUUCAUUAAGGCGGUUGCACAGUCCCUACCUACAUAUAUCAUGGGGAUUUUUCGUUUGCCCCAGAGUGUUUGUGAUGAUCUUACUCGCAUGGUACGCAAUUUUUGGUGGGGGGCCAAGGAGGGGAAGAGGAAGACACAUUGGCAUGCAUGGGAUACAUUGAUUAAACCGAAAGUGCAAGGCGGCAUGGGGUUCCGUGAUUUCAGACUCUUCAAUCAGGCACUUUUGGCUAGACAAGCUUGGCGUCUUAUUGCUUACCCUGACAGUUUAUAUGCUCAGGUGCUCAAAGCAAGAUAUUACCCGGCGGGACGUCUGGAAGAUACGGUCUUUUCGGACAACUCAUCCCAGACGUGGCAGUCUAUUGUCCACGGUCUUGAGCUUCUCAAGAAAGGUCUAAUUUGGCGCAUUGGUGAUGGAGCUUCUGUACGUAUUUGGCGUGACCAGUGGAUACCACAUCCACUUGCGAGGUUGCCAAUAUCACCCAAGGGGCGCUGCCGCCUUCGGCGUGUUAGCGAGCUCCUGGACGACCGAGGAAAUUGGAACGUGCAACUACUUAAUCAACAUUUCAUGUCAGUAGAUGUCAUGGAAAUUAUGAAGAUCAAGGUGGUGCCACGGUUGGACAGAGAUAUUAUCGCUUGGGCGCCCGAGCGUUCUGGAUCGUUCACAGUCCGGAGUGCUUAUCGUCUAUCAUAUGAUGAGAUUCACCGUCAGACUACAGUCGCAUCGAGUAGGGCACCGGACGGGCGACGUGCCGUUUGGGCACUUAUAUGGAGGUGCCCUGCUCCACCAAAGGUGCGUAUCUUUGCAUGGCGUUUGGUCACAAAUUCACUGGCUACUUGGGUGAAUAAAAAAUCACGGAAACUUGAGGUGUCUAACCUUUGUCCGUUGUGUGCGAUGGAACCGGAGGAUACGUUCCAUACAUUCUAUAGAUGCACAUUGGCUGUUGCUUCGUGGAACGCACUUAGCUUCAAUGAGGAAUACAGGCCCUGAGUGGCUUUUUGAUCUUCUGUAUAAGCUAAAUGAAGACGAUCGCAUGCAUGUGUUGAUGGUGCUGUGGAGGAGUUGGUAUGUACGUAAUGAAAUAGUACACCAGAAGCUUCCUGUAGAUUUCUAUUUAGCUAUGCUGAAUCUCUUCGAUGCAUCAAUCAUUUUCCAACCACUAACAUCAUCAAAGGGAAGAUGGUGCCGCCGGCGAUUGGGUAUAGUUCUACAAUGAUAAAUACAGCAACGCAACAUGCAGCCACAGUCCAGUGGUCUGCCCCGCCGGCCGGUCGCGUGAAGCUGAAUGUUGACGGGUCGUUCGUUGAUACCGAUGGUGGAUUAGCAGGAGCCGGUAUGAUCCUACGUGAUAAUGAUGGCAACAUUAUCUUCUCCGCUUGUCGUUCUAUCUUGCAUUGUUCCGGACCGCUCCAGGCUGAGUUGUUGGCAUGUCGGGAGGGAUUAAGCCUUGCUCUACAAUGGUCUACUCGCCUGGUAGACAUCGAGAUGGACUGCAUGGAUGCAGUUGAUCAAGUCGCCUACCCUUGACAGAUCGCCACAUAGAAUGAUAGUUCAGGAUAUUAAAAGGCUCUUUGGUGAAAGGGAUAUCUCUAUUGCUCAUGUAAGUAGGAAUCAGAACGUUGUUAGCCACACACUUGCUGCUUUCGGACGAUCGGAGGGCCGAACUGCAGUUUGGUUGCGUUUUGGACCUGCAGACGUUCCUCUGCUAUGUAGAAACGAAUAUUCCAACAGUUGAGCAAUGAAAUCAUUUUAACCCCACAAAAAAAAAGUCCGGGAGUUCGCUAAUGCACGAACCGGGGGAGCUGCAGCCACCACGUUCACUCGCCGUCCUCGAGGUACCGGACUCCGAAUACUCGUCUCAGCAGGUUUUUCCGAAGGUUUUUGCUUCAGACAUCUAACCUGAAGAAAAUACACACUGAACGCGUGGACGAGACGGUUUUUUCUUGGGACAUCUAACCUGAAGAAAAUGCAGAUUGAACGCGUGGACGAGACUGAAAGUGCCUUCCGUAAGAGAUGGUACCUCUGCACUAGAUAUUAUUGAAGCAUCUCAUUGAGUACUCGAAAUUGAGGCAGACACAUCAUGAAAUACACCGUACGUGCUUGUAAGUUGUAACAAAGCAGGACACGAAUUUUUGGAAUUUUUGGAACUAGAGUCCACACGUAUCCCUUAUGAAUAGUAACAAAAACCAAGACGUAAUAAAAAAAUAUUAACAAAUGGUCUGUGAAGUUCCUUAAUCUAGAUGAUAUUUGCUGUGGGAAUUGGUUAUAAUAUAUUUUAUAUGAGAUUUGGUUGUACAAAGCAUGAGUAGUUUGAGUUAUAAAUGGCUAAAACCAAAAGUAUAUAUUAUAUAUUGUAUUUGAUUAUUAUAUAAUUAUAUAAAUUGUGUAUUGGAUGUAAGUAGCAUAAUAUAGUGGGCUUUUUUUGCCAUGCAUGUUAUGACGUACCUUUGAUGAAAUGGCAUGUGUAUAUGUUGAGGUAAAUAGAAACAAUGUGGAUCAACUAAUAAUGAAAAAUGUGGCGUGUGUACAUGUUGAGGUAAAUGAAAACAAUGUGGAUCAAUUAAUAAUGAAAAAUGUUUUUCCAUGCAUGUAGAGGUGUUCUUUGAUGAGAUGGCAUGUGUGCAUAUUGAGAUAAAUAAAGUAGUGUGGAUCACCCACUUAACUAGGAUAAAUAAGGUAUUGCUACAAAGGAAAAAAGUGCCCCUGAUAUUCCUCAAAAACAGCACAUACGAGUAGAACAGUUGACCAGUUUUAUUAACCUUAGAAUUUAAAUUCUCUUAUUAUUAUUAUUUCAAAAAAAUUAUAUGUAUUGUCAUCAUAAGAGGGGUGCUUAGACCCAUGCUCACUACUAUUGUACUUUAACAUAAUAACUCAUAUCUUCCUUUAUACUAAUAAGAGAGAGAAUGAUAAAAUUGUGCAUAAAAAAAUAAUUCUGUUCUGUGUCCAAAAUUACGAUGACAAUUAUCUGGCACUAUGUCCCUGCGAUCGGGUCUACAUCAUGUACGCCCUAAUAAGUACAACUGUCAUCUUCUGCAUUUCCUCUCAAUAGUUGUAGACCAUCUGCCUAUUCGACCAAAACAUCCUGUUUAUUAGACAAGGGUUUUAGGGUUUUUGGCACACCUCCAAACGUGGGGUGACCUUUUCAUUAUAUAGUGAUGUACAACAUAAUUACAAGUGGGGCCCAGUAUAUACAGAGUCUAACACCCUCCCUCAAUCUUAACCGUGCUCAAAAGAAUUUACUAGGUUGAGAUUGCGCCUACACCCUUCAAACUGAGGAAGAGGCAGUGGCUUCGUGAAGAUGUCAGCAAGUUGAUCUUUCGAGGAGAUGAACUUGAUAAGAAGCAGUUUCUGGGCAACACGUUCCCUGACAAAGUGGUAAUCAACUUCAAUGUGUUUGGUGCGAGCAUGAAAAACUGGAUUUGAAGACAAAUACGUCGCCCCAAUAUUAUCACACCAAAGCACCGGCGGCUGCUUCUGAGGAACCUUCGACUCUUUGAGCAAAAACUGUAUCCAAAUAAGCUCUGCUGUGGCAUUUGCAACUGCUUUGUACUCAGCUUCAGUGCUACUGCGAGACACCGUUGCUUGUUUACGAGCACUCCAGGCGAUCAAGUUCGAACCAAGGAAGACUGCAUAUCCCCCCGUGGAUCGUCUGUCAUCCGGACUCCCAGCCCAGUCCGCAUCAGAGAACGCAGAGAGAACGCCAGAGGGGGCCGGUUGCAGAUGCAAGCCAUAAGAAGAAGUGGACCGGAUGUAACGCAAAAUGCGCUUAACUGCAGCCCAGUGAGAGUCUCGAGGAGCAUGAAGAAACUGGCAGACCCGGUUGACCGCAUAGGAGAUAUCAGGACGAGUGAUAGUCAAGUACUGCAAGCCACCAACAAUACUGCAAUACUCAGUAGCCUCAUCAGCAGGGAGGAGAGAACCAUCGAGAGCAGAUAGGCGGUCAGUGGAGGACAUAGGUGUAGUAGCUGGCUUGCACUGGAGCAUACCAGACUUCCGAAGAAUAUCAAGAGAAUACUUCUGCUGAGUGAGAGUCAAGCCAGAACCAGAAGACAAUACUUCAAGGCCAAGGAAAUAGUGAAGCUGCCCAAGAUCCUUAACCGCAAAGUCAGCACUCAAAGCAGAAACCAAGCGAUCCCAGCAUAGUCUGAGGAACUGACCACGAUGAUAUCGUCAACAUAGACCAGUAGAUACAUAGUAACUGUAGGUCGCUGAAGAAGAAAUAACGAGGUAUCGGCCAGAGAGGGAACAAAUCCAUGAGCCCGAAGAGUGGUGCCAAGACGCGCAUGCCAAGCGCGCGGAGCCUGCUUCAGACCAUAGAGUGCCUUAACAAGACAACAGAGAUGCUGCGGACGAGCUGGAUCGACAAAACCGGGAGGCUGACACAUAUAAACCUCCUCCUCAAGAACACCAUGAAGGAAAGCAUUCUGAACAUCAAGCUGACGAAGAGACCAUCCACGGGUAAUUGCCAGUGAGAGCAGAAGCCGAAUCGUGGUCGGUUUGACCACUGAACUGAAGGUGUCCUCAUAAUCAAGGCCAAGGCAUUGUUUGAAUCCUCGAGCAACCAGUCGAGCCUUGUAUCUCUCGAUAGAACCAUCAGCAUGUUUCUUUACCUUGAAGACCCACUUUGAGUCAAUGAUGUUGACACCAGCCUUUGAAGGAAUCAGUCGCCACAUUUCAUUCUUAAGAAGAGCGUGGUAUUCUUGUUCCAUCGCAGUACGCCAGUGAGGGAUACUCAGGGCAGCCUGAAAAUGUCGAGGCUCAGCAGUAGGGUCGGACUGCACCUGCGCCAUGCAAGUCGCAAGCCAGGCCACCGUGCCAUCCUUGCGUUCCUUAGGACGAAACACCCCACUUUUGCUGCGUGUAUGAGGACGCAACACCGGGGGCGGAGCAGGUGGCGAAACCGAUGGUGAGGAUGAUGAAGGGGACACAUCAUCCGUCAUGGCAGAGGCUGAUGCAGUCGGUGGCGGUGACGAAGAAGACACAGCAGGAGACGCCGACCCACUCGAGGGCGAUGCCGAUCCAGACGAGCAGGACAAGUGCCGCACAGGCAACGAGGAUGACGCGGAACUCCCAGGCGACGACGGCCCAGGCGUUGAUGGCGGGGGACUCCCAGGCGGGGACGGCCCAUGCGUCCGUGCAGGUGACGGCCCAGGCGUCGAUGGCGAGGACGCCGGUGCAGACGUGACGGCUCACUGGGCCGAUGCGCCAGUCAGCAGAAGCGGCGGCUGGGCCAGAGUGGUGACGCGCGGUGCAGCAGCCGCGAUCACGGGCACAGGCGGGCUCGUUGCAUGGGACAUGCACGAAGCCAGCCGAUCGACCUGAGCAGGUGGUGAUGACGGAGCCGUCGGGGACGAGGGAGCCGGAGUGUCAACCUCAUCCAGGAGCUCAAGCUGCACACAUCUCCCAAUACCUGCACCAUGGUUAAACAACAAAGAGGGCGAAUGUGCAGCAUCUACAAAUUGAUCAGGCAAUAUAGUGGAUGGGUGCACUGGCGGUGUCGAGCUUGUGUCAGGUGAGGGAAGAGCAGCAAAGAGAAAAGCAUGCUCAUCAAAAACAACAUCGCGGGAGAUAUACACACGAUUAGACAGGACAUGAAGGCACUUAUACCCUUUGUGAACAGAACUAUACCCCAGAAAGACACACUUCUUUGAUCGGAACUCAAGCUUGCGAUUAUUAUACGGACGGAGAUGCGGCCAACACGCACAACUGAACACUUUAAGAAACUUGUAAUCAGGAGUCUGACCAAGCAAGAGUUCAAGUGGAGUUUUCAUAUGAAGGAGCCGCGAAGGAAGCCUAUUUAUAAGAAAACAGGCUGUAGUAAAAGCAUCGCUCCAAAAACGAAACGGGACAGAGGCAUGAGCAAGCAAGGUUAACCCAGUUUCAACAAUAUGACGGUGCUUACGUUCAGCUAAACCAUUCUGCUGAUGUGUAUGUGGGAAAGAAACACGAUGAGCAAUUCCAAGUUUUUCAAAGAAAGUACUGAGGUUGCGGUAUUCACCCCCCCCCCCCUAGUCUGACUGGACGUGAAUGAUUUUAUGAUCUAGGAGUCUCUCAACAUGUGCUUGAAAUUGUAAAAACACAUUAAACACAUCAGACUUAUGCUUAAGAAGAUAAAUCCAGGUAAAGCGACUAUAAGCAUCAAUGAAACUGACAUAAUAUUCGUGCCCACUAACGGACCACUGGGCAGGACCCCAUACAUCUGAAAACACAAGCUCAAGAGGAGUUUUGACUAUAUGUAUAGAAACAGAAAAAGGUAACUGAUGACUCUUGCCUUGCUGGCAGGCAUCACAGACAGCGGCAUCUUUAUUACUAGACUCGGACGGUAGCUCAUGACGAUGGAGGACAUGGCAAACAAUGGGAGAUGCUGGGUGACCAAGACGAGAGUGCCAUAGUGAUGGAGACACACGAACGCCACUGAAGACUUGGAAGGCAGCAGCAGGAGCGGGAACGUUGGUGGGGGCAUCAAGAGCAUAGAGACCAUGGCGGUAGCGACCUCUAAGAAGUAUGUUCCUCGUAGCACGAUCCUUAACAAAGAGAUGAAACGGAUAAAACUCACAGAAAACAUUAUUAUCAUGUGUAAGUUUAGGAACAGAGAGUAAAUUACGUGCAACUGUGGGAACACGAAGAACAUUUCUAAGAUGCAAUGUCCUAGAGGAGUUUGUGAGAAGUGAUGCCUGACCAACAUGCGAAAUGUGCAUACCUGCCCCGUUAGCCGUGUGAACCUUGUCAUGCCCACGGUAAGGCUGCUGGACAGUUAGCUUGCCCAGCUCGUUCGUUACGUGCGUGGUUGCUCCAGUAUCCAUGUACCAAGAAGGAUCAAUAGGAUAAGAAGGGGUGUGACCCUGUUGCGCCAUGUUAACUUGACGCUCGUUGCCCUUGCCAUUAUUGCCGAGGCCAAGGAAGUCCGUCUUGAACCGGCGAUGACAGCGAGAGGCGACAUGGCGAGGCAGGCCACAGAGCUGACAUGGCUGAGCCGCACCACAGGCGGUACAGCAGGCGCAGGCGCGGCCGUCAACGACGACUACCGGGGCACCAGGACGCGGGGCCUGCUGCUGUUGUGCCGAGGACGCACCUCCACCGGACUUGCCCCCUCCUCCCGAGGAAGCUGCAGAGGGGCACGGCCACCGCCUUUGCCGUGGUACACGGCGUUGACGGAGGAGUCGAUGGAGACAUCGGGGCGGCGUGCGUUGAGCCGUUGCUCCGUUGACAAGAGACGGCUGUAGAGUUCCUGAGGACGAAGAGGCUCCUUGCGUUCAUUAAUCACCUCGGCAAGCGAGUCGUAGUCGCUGUCGAGGCCGGCUAGGAUGAAGGAUGUGAACUCGCUGUCACGAAGGGGCUCUCCAAUGGAAGCAAGAGUGUCAGCCAACUUCUUGAUCUUGUUGUAGAAGGUGAUCACCGUACCAUUGUCCUUGCGAGUUUCACCAAGCUUGGCACGGAUGGCCAUGGAUUGAGCAGUAGACUGAGACGAGAAACUCGACUCCAGUAUGUCCCACACCUCAUGAGAGGACGAAGCAAAGAGGACGAGCCCGGCCACACCCUCACCCAGAGAAGACUGGAUGGCUGAGAGGAUGGCUUGGUCCUGAGCGAUCCACGCACGGAACAUCGGAUGAUAUGGCAGUGGACAUGGCAGUGUACCGUUGAGGAACCCCUCCAAGUAAUGGCUGCGAAGGAGAGGAAGCACCUGAGCACGCCAAUAUAGAUAAUUGUCCGGUUUAAGCUUCACCAGGAGGAGGUGGGAGAAUAAAAACGGCGGCGAGGAGAUCGCGGCCAGAGCAGCUUCAGCACCCACGUAUGGCGUCGGAGAGGGCAUUGGUGCAGAUUGCGCCGCAACCGUUGCGUACAGGUGCGAGGGGCCGUACGGGUAGGGCGCCCCAUAGGGCGGCGGAGCCGGGUACGCGCCCUGGCCAGGGUACACACCAUAGGAGGGAUGCGCAGGUGGCGACGGGCCGUACGGCGCCGCGUACAGUGGGUAGCCGCCGUGAUUGGCAUGGGCGGCAUCGGCAAUAGUAGGGCCGACUGCGGUGUAGAUGGAGGCAACCGGAGCAGGUGCGAUCGCACGCAUCGGGUGUGACGCGGUAGGUGGUGGCGGCGCAGGCACAAGGGAGUGCACGGCAGCCGGCGGCGGCGACAGUUGCUGGGACCGGGCCGAAGCAGCAGGCGAUGAAGAGGAGACGACGGCGUACAGCGAAGACACCGGGUCGGCGAAGAGAGACCCCGCCGAUUAGGUCUGCAGGUGGCCGAGCGAUCCGUCCGCCGUGUAGGGCGCAGUCCCGACGUUGAGGAGACGCGCGAGGAACGGCGGGAGGAACAAGUGAUCCAUGUGAACGGGGGCCGGCGGCAGAAGGGCGGGGAAGGAAACCGCGGUGCCGGCGGCGCUUGAGGCAGCGGCGGCGGCGGCUGGUGGCGGAGGCGGAGCGGAAGACAUUAGAUCGUUAGGUCGGAUACCAUAUUAGACAAGGUUUUAGGGUUUUUGGCACACCUCCAAACGUGGAGUGACCUUUUCAUUAUAUAGUGAUGUACAAUAUAAUUACAAAUGGGGCCUGUAUAUACAGAGUCUAACACUGUUUGACUUCAAGUAUGUUCGCUAUGGUUGCAAUGGCUAGUCGCUAGGGAAAUAAUCUUUUUUGCAUGGGGGAAGGAUUUUGUAUUAAUUAACUUAGCUCAAGAUUACCCAGUGCACAUAGUUUUACGACUCCCUCAGGACCGGACCGUAACCGGACGGACGCCUUAAUCUUAACUCUCCCGAUCUGAGCUAAUUCAUGACUAACACGAUUAUUGCCCCUUUUAGUAGGCUGGAUCUUAAUUUCUCUCUCCCCUCUCAUCAUAGUUGUGAUCUAUCAACCGAGGGGUUGGAUAUCAUUGCAGCAACUUUAGCACUAUCCGUUUCAACGAUGAACAGAAGUGAGCUCCAUUCCAAAGCAAGAGCAAUUCCCUCCUUGCACGCCGCGAGUUAUGUAGUUAGAGCAUUACCGCGUGUGAAGAGAUGUCGACACGAGCUGGAAAUAAUGCUACCAGAGCUGUCUCGUGUCUCGGAGCACCAUUCACGUGCCUACAUUGCCUGCAUGUGCUAUUCACCAUCCACGUUUAGUGUGAGCCACCCCAGCUUAGACGCUCUCCAGCUCUUAGGCUAGUCAUAGUGGAGAGUAUAUGUUACUAGUCUAUGUUAUUAUCUUUAUAUUGGGUAGUGUCAUAUAUGCGGUAACAUAGAUACCUUCAUUUAUUACUUUGUAGACUUAUUUUGCAUUAGAAAGCGUUAUGUGAUGGUAACAUAUUAUGUUACUCUAUUUGACCAUUUUACCUUUUUCUCGGUCUGCCGUGGUCAUCAAGAGUGCCAUGCGAGAUGUGCCUGAGAGCAGCUCAACCACGGCAAAGAGCCAUCCGGGCAUGUGUGCCGCACCGGCUUAAUGUCCCGGAGCAUCCAAUCUUUAGUCAUCGCCCUCCAAAGCUCGACUGCAUGAGGGCACUUACACAUUGCGUGGAAUUCAUCCUCGCUUUCCAGACCACACAGGGAGCAUAUGUCAGUGGUUUUCAAAUGAUAGGAGAGUUUAUUCACCCACGCUUGCAAGAGAAUUUGUGACAAGCCGCCAAGCAAACACACGUACCUUUGGGGGACCUGAUGGCGCGUCAACCAUCCGGUGCCAUGGCAAUAACCAACAGGCCAAAGAUGACAACAAACAAUGGCGUGGAGCACAGAUAAACUGGCGUGGCUACUAGAUGGUCCGUCAUCAAAAUAAUGAUUGGAACACCACUUCAUAUCCAAGGUGAAAACUACUAUUCUGGCCUUCAUUCAUUGGUUAGGCUCAGCAACGUUGAACUUGCGCUGUUACCUUAUCAAAGGUGUUACCUUGUUGCUAUUGUGCUAGUCUUCAAUGGUUAGUUUUGGCAACAAGAAUGAAAAUCCUCGUCUUGUUUGUCUUCCACCGGACGUGACCACAGCGAUGUGAGAGCGCUUAUUUCUUGAAAGAAGUCAGAUUAGUCAUAGAUGUUUGUUCUAUACAUUUCAUAAUGACUAAGCCGUGUUUGUCUUUUUCUAACUCUGCUUAAUAAUUAAUAAGAAUAAUUAUGUACAUUAUGAUGAUGCAGAGGCAAGAGUUUAACCUUUUUUGUUUGAAAAAAAUAGCAGUAGACGCUCGAUCCAUGUCUGGUUUGUACGACCGGCCGACGACGAACACACGUACGGUAGUGACAAGUACGGUAGUGGGACGAUCCUACGCGCCGACAGGACGACAGUGCCAAGACAACGCUAGGCUCCUCAGCUCUCUAGCUCAUUCCGGUGGCUGCGUCAGAUAAGCACGCCCGGACGUGGCAUCCGUCCGGUGCCUCGCCCAACGCGUGUCAAUGCGUCAGGGACAGCAAGAGGAGAGGCUUGCGUCCGCGUCGUCGCACACGCGCCGUCUCCUGCGCCCGCGACGCGCCUCCUCGCCGGCUAUAAAAUGGCGACGUCGCUACCUCCUCCAUCACCAGCAUCAAACAAGCAACCACAAGCACCGCACAAGCUGAAGCGGUAGAGCACACACGCUCCCUUCCAGUUGAGGUCGAAGUAGCUAGCGAGGAGUGAGCGAUGGCCUCCGGUCAGCAGGAGAGGUCGCAGCUGGACCGCAAGGCCCGCGAGGGCGAGACCGUCGUCCCCGGCGGUACCGGCGGCACCAACCUCCAGGCGCAGGAGAACCUCGCCGAAGGUACGUAGCAAUGCACGUCGACCUUAUGUGUUGGUGGCUUCGGCUACUCAUGUCGUGUCUACGGUGUUGGCAGGGCGCAGCCGCGGCGGGCAGACGCGCAAGGAGCAGAUGGGGGAGGAGGGGUACCGCGAGAUGGGGCGCAAGGGCGGGCUGAGCACCAACGACGAGUCCGGCGGCGAGCGCGCCGCCAGGGAGGGCAUCGACAUCGACGAGUCCAAGUUCAAGACCAAGUCCUAGAUGAUCCGUUAGCCUAGCAAGCAAGACGACUGCUUAGUUGGUUGGUUUACCUUGCAGGAUGAAUAAUGUAGGUCAGGGAUCCUGACGUGUGCACGCAUGUAGGAGAUCAUAUGUACUAGAUCAUGUGUGCUUGGUGGUUAAUAGUAGCCGGUAGUCCGUACUAGGUACUGAUGGUCAGUCAGAGUCGUGUGUCCGUGUCAGUCGGAAGUGUGGUUGUGGCUCCGGCGGCUGGUCCGGCCUCUCUUCCCACCAGCUUUCCGCUGUAUCCUUGUGUUUCCAGUAAUGUAAGUCGUCGUUGCUGAAAUCUGAAGCUUUGUAGUGUGCUACUUCUGCUUUGCUAAUUGUUGGUGUUCCCGGUUUUUUAUUGUUUACCGUAAAACCUCUCCUGAACGAGAACUCUACGUGCCGCAUCA